Long non-coding RNA from Vitis vinifera (wine grape), 1538 nucleotides. RefSeq lists it as uncharacterized. Lineage: Eukaryota; Viridiplantae; Streptophyta; Magnoliopsida; Vitales; Vitaceae. The record is from RefSeq and is a predicted model, not a curated record. The transcript is spliced from 6 exons.
CUGAAAACACCCUCACUUUUCUCUCCCUACCCUGCCCUGCCUCACACUAACACUGAACAGAAACUCCAUCCUCCAUCUGCUUCUAUCCCUCUUCAAACCCAAAAAUCCAGAAACCCCAACACCUUCCUCGUGUUGAUCUCAAUCUGAAAAACCCAAAUCCCGUCAAAAACGGACCUCUUAUUUUCCCAUAUAUCCCGGAAUCCCAAGAAUACGGUGAAACCUAACCCUAACCUCUUCUUGUCACAACUGGACGACGCAGAUCCAAGGGCGUGGGAUACCCAUCAUCAUCGGCUUCUUUACAUGUGCUUCAGUGGCACUGCACUUUCCAAGCUCCUUCCUUUCCAUCUCCCCUCGUCCUCUCUCUCUCUCUCUCUCUGAAUUGUGAUGGAGCAGCAGCACCGCCAGCAUUCUCAGUUUAAACCUUCUCGUCGAAGGACAACUGACUCUGCCUUUUUUGUUUUUUAUUUUUCUUUGCCCGUCCACAGGGACUUGCCUAACCACAGAGGACUGCCUCUUGAAUAAAAAUAGGAACCCACAUUUGACUAAGGAGCAAAUAGAGGCUGAGCUUAAGUCCUAUCUUGGAGUCAAGAAAGUUAUUUGGUUGCCUCGCUGAUUAUUUGAACCAAUACAGCUGGUGGGCACACCGUGAGGGAUUUAUAUGCUGGUGUAGUUAGCUUACAGAGGAGCACGUAAGUGAAGAAAUUUUUUUAAAUCGUCCUACUGCUGGCACACUCUUCAUGGAGGGACAGAUGCAAGCAAGGGAUCAAGAUAACAGUGGGGAAAUGCAUGACUUCAAUUUAACUACUAUAUUGACUGCUAUGAACCGCUUCUCUGAUGCCAAUAAGCUUGGAGAGGGAGGUUCUGGGCCUGUUUACAAGGUUAAGCUGCAUAAUGGGAAGAGAUAGCGGUUAAAAGGCUUUCGAGGAAAUCAGGGCAAGGUCUUGAAGGGUUCAAGAAUGAAGUUAUGUUAAUUGUUAAACUUCAACACAAGAAUCUUGUGAGGCUGCUGGGUUGCUGCAUAGGGAGAGAGGAAAAGCUCCUUGUCUAUGAGUACAUGGCCAACACUAGUCUUGAUGCCUUUCUAUUUGGCAACUAGACUGGGCCAAGCUUGCUGCCAUUGUUGGGGGAAUAACAAGAGAGAUUCUGUAUCUGCAUGACGACUCUCGGCUCAAAAUCAUCCAUAGGGAUUUGAAAGCAAGCAACAUUUUGUUGGAUGAAGAGAUGAACCCAAGGAUCUGAGACUUUGGAACUGCUAGGAUUUUUGGUAGUAAUCAGCUUGAUGCUAACACAAACAAAGUUGGUGGUACAUUGUAAGUCAUCUCCUUCUCUUGCCAUGCUUUGUUUAACUGUUAAGCCCAAAAGAAAAAAGGAAAAACUGCACAUACAUAUUCUGUUUCUAUUAAAAAAAUAUUCCUUAUCAUCUAACUUGUCUAGCAUGAGACGCGCGCAAUCUUAAGUCCAAGAAAGUACUACUAUUCCUAUCAAUCAAACAUCUCUUUCUACUAGUUUUAUGUGAAAAUAGUCAUUUUAUAGAAAAA